UUAGCUCAGUCGGUAGAGCAACUGACUUUUAAUCAGUAGGUCACAGGUUCGACCCCUGUA
This 60-nucleotide transfer RNA is filed under the name uncultured Hyphomonas sp. It matches the Rfam family "tRNA", at positions 7 to 64 of the family's 71-position model. From Rfam's summary of the family: Transfer RNA (tRNA) molecules are approximately 80 nucleotides in length. The record is from RNAcentral. Lineage: Bacteria; Pseudomonadati; Pseudomonadota; Alphaproteobacteria; Hyphomonadales; Hyphomonadaceae.